UAAUUAAUAAAAUUGUCUUUAAAAAAGUUUAUUAAGUGUAUAAAUUUAAUUAAAUAAGUUUUAGUCUUUGUAAUUUUCAAGAAUUAGAUUUUUUGAACGAUAGGGAACGAGUAUUGUAAAAGAAAUAUUAAAUAUACUUAUAAUUAAUAAAAGGAGAUUUGAUUAAUUGUAUCUUGUGUAUCAGAGUAUAUUAAUUUGAAUUAUAUAUAUAUUUUUCUCGAAGUUUUAAGAUUUAAUUAAAUAUAAGUAGUUAUUGUUUCAAAAAUAUUAUAAAUAUUUAAUUGGGAAUGAAAUGUUAUUCGUUUUAAAGGAUAUCUAGUUUUUUAAUAAAUGAAUUUAAUUCAGGGAAUAUAAGGAUAUUAUAUAUUUAUUAUAUAUAAUAUUAUGAUAUUUCUAGUUUUUAAGGGGAUAAACUUUUAAAAAAAAAAUUAUAAUGGGAAGGAAUUUAUGGAGAAUUUUGUAAAUUUAGAAUUUGUUAAUAAUUAAAGGAUGUUAAAAUUUAGUUCUUGAUUUAUUUUAUUUAUUAUUAGUUUAAAAUUUUUAUUAAAAUAUUUAGUUAAAUUAUGAAAAUUAUAAUAAUUAUGAUUUAAUUAGUAAAUUGUAGCUUUUUGAAGUAAUUCAUUAAAUAAGAAAGUUUAAGGUAAUGAAUUAGGCAAAAUUUUUGUUCGCCUGUUUAAUAAAAACAUGUUCUCUUGAAUUAAUUAAGAGAUCUAACCUGCCCACUGAAUGAAAAAUUUAAAGGGCCGCAGUAUUUUGACUGUGCAAAGGUAGCAUAAUCAUUAGUCUUUUAAUUGAAGGCUAGUAUGAAUGGUUGGACGAGACAAAUUCUCUAUCACUUUAAUGUAAGAUUUAAAUUAGAUUUUAAGUAAAAAUACUUAAAUGGUAGUAAGGGACGAGAAGACCCUAUAGAGUUUAAUAUAUCAAGUUUAAAUUAGGUUUAUUUAAAAUUAUCAAUUCUUUAUGUAGUGUAUUUAGUUGGGGUGAUGAAAAGAUAAUAAUAACUCUUUUUAAGAAUUAAUUAUUUAAUAAGUAAAAUGAUCCAUAAGUUAGUGAUUAGAAGAUUAAAUUACCUUAGGGAUAACAGCAUAAUUUUUUUUGAGAGUUCUUAUCGAAAAAAAAGAUUGUGACCUCGAUGUUGGAUUAAGAAAAAUUUUAGGUGUAGAUGUUUAAAAAUUAGGUCUGUUCGACCUUUAAAUUCUUACAUGAUCUGAGUUUAAACCGGCGUGAGCCAGGUUGGUUUCUAUCUUUAUUAUUGUUUAAUGUUUUAGUACGAGAGGACCAAAUAUUAAAAAUAAUUUUUAUUUUCUGAAUAUUUUUAAGUUAAAGAGGGUAA
Molecule: ribosomal RNA, 1333 nt
Filed under: Leptomantella albella
Lineage: Eukaryota; Metazoa; Arthropoda; Insecta; Mantodea; Leptomantellidae
Description: 16S ribosomal RNA
Rfam family: Archaeal large subunit ribosomal RNA (bases 623-1333)
Source: RNAcentral